Planococcus citri (citrus mealybug) is the source of this 478-nucleotide long non-coding RNA. RefSeq lists it as uncharacterized. The record is from RefSeq and is a predicted model, not a curated record. Lineage: Eukaryota; Metazoa; Arthropoda; Insecta; Hemiptera; Pseudococcidae. The transcript is spliced from 3 exons.
CAAUAAUUGCGAAACUAGUACAGUAUAAAAUGGGAGAUCGCCCAGCAAUAGAAUCAUCAGUUUUUACCAUAUUCAAACCUAUUCGGAAAUACUGUAUUUUUGUGAAUUUCAAACUCGAACGUGUUUUGAAACCAUGAAGCCAAUUGUUGCUCUUUUUUUCGUUCUAGCGGCUCUCUGUGUCGCGGUAAAUUUCGUAGAAUGUACAAUUUGUGCCAAAGAUCAACGUUCAGGUGGACCACAAAACUUUGAUAGCAUUUCCGCGAUGAAUGCUGCAAACCGCGCAGGUGGAAAAUAUGUUUUCCAGCACAAUGGAGCUUGCUAGAGGACGUUGGGAACUUUUCAGUAUUUAAUCAGUGAUGCACCAAACAGCAAGUAAAAAAAAAAAUUGAUUAGAAAGCAAAACCCAAAACAAUCAAAUAGAAUUUUUGCACUAAGUAUGUAAAAUAGAAAUAAUAAUACACUUUAUUAUUCAAAUUAA